This 632-nucleotide ribosomal RNA is filed under the name uncultured Bacteroidales bacterium. Its description in RNAcentral is "bacterial SSU rRNA". It matches the Rfam family "Bacterial small subunit ribosomal RNA", at positions 108 to 736 of the family's 1533-position model. The record is from RNAcentral. Lineage: Bacteria; Pseudomonadati; Bacteroidota; Bacteroidia; Bacteroidales.
GAGUAACGCGUAUGCAACUUACCUAUCAGAGGGGGAUAACCCGGCGAAAGUCGGACUAAUACCGCACGAAGCAGGGGGCCCCGCAUGGGGAUAUUUGCUAAAGAUUCAUCGCUGAUAGAUAGGCAUGCGUUCCAUUAGGCAGUUGGCGGGGUAACGGCCCACCAAACCGACGAUGGAUAGGGGUUCUGAGAGGAAGGUCCCCCACAUUGGUACUGAGACACGGACCAGACUCCUACGGGAGGCAGCAGUGAGGAAUAUUGGUCAAUGGCCGAGAGGCUGAACCAGCCAAGUCGCGUGAGGGAUGAAGGUUCUAUGGAUCGUAAACCUCUUUUAUAAGGGAAUAAAGUGCGGGACGUGUCCCGUUUUGUAUGUACCUUAUGAAUAAGGAUCGGCUAACUCCGUGCCAGCAGCCGCGGUAAUACGGAGGAUCCGAGCGUUAUCCGGAUUUAUUGGGUUUAAAGGGUGCGUAGGCGGCCUUUUAAGUCAGCGGUGAAAGUCUGUGGCUCAACCAUAGAAUUGCCGUUGAAACUGGGGGGCUUGAGUAUGUUUGAGGCAGGCGGAAUGCGUGGUGUAGCGGUGAAAUGCAUAGAUAUCACGCAGAACCCCGAUUGCGAAGGCAGCCUGCCAAGCCA